RNAcentral lists this long non-coding RNA (527 nucleotides) under Lepisosteus oculatus (spotted gar). RNAcentral describes it as "lncRNA (ENSLOCG00000022780.1)". Lineage: Eukaryota; Metazoa; Chordata; Actinopteri; Semionotiformes; Lepisosteidae. The record is from RNAcentral.
CCACAAGCCAACAGGCAGAAACGUAAUCCGAUAUUGUAGCCAGGAACAGAAGGAGGUCCGAAACCAGGAAAACAGAGAGUGAAGUACCACAGGAAAACACAGAAGCAAAAGUCAAAAUGGCAAGCCAGAGUCGAAAGCAGAAAUACUGUAAUCACAGGGCACAGUCCAGGGGCAAUCCAGAAAAACACAGCGAAAACAAGCACAGGAAGGUCACCGCGGUGCUUGCUGAAAAUGUGCUGGAAGAAAAUCUAAUUGAGCCCAUCAGUGUGAGCCGAAGACGUGGCAGAUCUAAGCAGCAGGAAUAGACCAUCCCAGGUUCCCAAAUUGCCGGGAGUUUGGAAGACUAAGAUUUUAAUACAGAUUUUUGGGAAAAAAAUAUUUCCAAAAUUGGAAAAAACACUGGCUAUAGAUUGUAGGCCCAUUUUUUUAGUUCACACAGGAGUAAGUAUUUUAGUGAUCUAAAAAAAUAUCUGUUGCUUUCAAGCAUCGGUUCUUUCCAUAAAGCAGGAAUAAAGAGCUCUGUUUCC